Molecule: long non-coding RNA, 7916 nt
Organism: Pseudopipra pipra
Lineage: Eukaryota; Metazoa; Chordata; Aves; Passeriformes; Pipridae
Exons: 2
Source: RefSeq, a predicted model, not a curated record
AUGCUCCUGAGAAUGACAAAUAACACAUGAGUAAAUCCUGCUCCAAAACCAUAAAACCCAAUUUAAAAAAAAAAAAAGGCAUGCACUUCUAAUCUAAUCUACUGGCAUAGGCAUAUAAAGCAGAAUUAAUUGAUAAACAUAUAAUUAAUUGAUAAAAAUCAUAAAAGCCAUAAACAAAGCCUUUUCAAAAGGUAAUGAAUGAGUAAUCCAAGCAGACAGUGUGAAAGGCCCAUUGCUGCUGUGGGGUCAGACUAAUUUGACUAUCCAUACCCUAGGGUAGAGUUAUUAAAGGAUAAAAGCUUUGAACAUUGUUGCAGAGUUCAAUGAAAAUAAAAACUUUUACUCAACAUAUAGAAGCUCUCAGAAAUGCAAAUGAAGUGUUAGAAUGCAUAAAGAUGGCAAAUAAUUAAAUAUUAUGGUUCUGUUUAACAAACUGCUUCUUUGCAUGCAAUUACUGCAUCCUGGGCUGGUCUGAGAAAGGAGAACAGGAAUAAAGCUCAGAGAAAGGAGCAUGAGCAGAGACCUGCAAGGACAGUUUGCUGAAGGAGGAGUAAAACAGGGAAUUGGGAGUGGGGAAUGGUUUGGGUAAGGGCUGUUUCUCUGGGGUUGGGUUGUGCAUCUCUCUGUAUUUUGCUCUGGUGGGGGUGUGGGGAGGAAAGCACUCGGAUUGUUUCGUUUCCCCAUCUUUGUGUUCCAGUUCUCGUGCCCUGAGCGCCAUACAGAGCACACACACUCCACACCACAGGUCACACACCACGUCCUUUUAGUUCCCCUCCAACAGAAACACUUUGCCCAGCCUGAAACCCUGCUCCCACUUCCCAGCCAUCCUUCCCGACGGCCGCCUGCCCUUCCGUGCUUGCCCAGCCCCGAGUGCUCGUGCUCCCUUCCAGGCCUCCCCGUGCCGCAGGUCACAGUUGACCAUUGCAAGAACAAUAAGGAUUUUUAGGGGCAUUAUGACUGGGUUAGUAAAACACAGCUGCCCCUGAAAGUCCCUCAUUUUUCUUGCUGCCGCUCAGUCCGUCCCUACGAGGGCAGGGUCUGGCAGGGUCCUUUCUCUCCAGCAUGACUGUGCUGUCUCAUGCUGCUGUGCCCAGGAAUACCCAGGAACACCCCAGUCCCAGUGCCCAGGAACACCCCAGUCCCAGUGCCCAGCCCACACGGCAGCAGAAGGUGUGGAAGUGCUUUGUCAUCCCUGUGGGCUCCUCCUCAGCGAAGGCUGGGCUGAGUUUCAGCGUCAUGCCAGAUGGCUCGUCUGUCACUCACUGGGAAUGCCACCAAACAGAGGAGUGCCACCAAACAGAGCCUGGCACAGCUAUCUGCAGGCAGCCCUGGAAUACCCAGCCACCAGGGCAAAAGGCAGGAAUGCCUUGUCCUGCAGAUACUUGUGGUACUGGCUCUCAGGUGAGCACUGCUGCUUUGUCCAGGAGAAGUGGAGCCCCCAGGGCUGACGGACUCUGCACGUCCCACACUCCUGUGUCAUAACCCAUGAUCCUUGGGGCACUCAGAGCUCCCCAGGGCACUCAGAGCUGCUCAGCCACAGCACCCAAGUCCCCAUGGAAGAGCUCACAUCCAUCUGCAGAAGCAGUUGCUUUUAAUUAAUUAAUAAAGCUGGGAUUUUAAUGAGGGAAUUACUACUGAUUUCUCAACAACUUUCAGCUUAAGUAAUAUCUGAAAAAGAUCUAUACAUUUACAGCUCAAAAGGUGCCAGGUAUUUGGCUGGGAAUUUUCAACCUUCAUUCACAAGUCCUCCUGGAAAGCCCAGCCCAGCCCAGCAUGUCCUUCGGGCAAGGAGUAACAUUUCCCUUUUAUUGGAUCUUUGGAUUUCAUGGCAGGGGACCCAACAGAAAGUACAGGCAGAUUCCCACAAUUCUGCUCUGUUGUUUCCCCAUAAACUCUUUUUGUAGAGAGCUGGUGUGGGCCCCAUCCCGUGGUGGGCUUGCAAGGAUCCCUGCAAGCUGCUGCCCUUGAGAGGGACUUUGUGACAUGCCUGAGGGCUUUCAGGAGUUUCAGAGUGUUCAGGAGUUCAGAAAAGCUCUCAGGGUUUUUCUUCUUCCCCCCACCCCCCCUUUGCAGUAAAAACAUCACAUCAUAUCCCUCAGCAAGGGAUUCUUUCCCCAGUUCCUGGUUACAGGCUGUGAAGAACAAAGUGGUUGAGUGUCUCUGAAAUGCUGUGAGGUGAGAUGUGAGUGGCAGCACAGGGAUCUCUGGAGCUGUUCACAUGUGCCAUCUCCAGGGACACACACACAGCUGGUGUGGCCACUCUGAGGCUUGGGGAGUCACACAAUACAGUACACCACCAUACCAGUAUCCUCACCCAUCCCACAGGGGAUGGUUUUCCACGGUAGCAGUCAACCUGGCAUCCAAAAACCCCGGAAACCUUCUCAGAACUGUACAAAGCCACACCUUAUUUUCAUCUAGAAUUUCUUCUAGGGCUUGCAAGUCAAGGGAAAACAAACCCCGUGCCCUGAUCUGGUAAUAAAACAUGAGCCAUGAUUCAGAUCCAAAUAUUAUUUGCCUCUUUGAAAAAGUUACAACAGCAGUAUAAUAAUAAUUUUAAAAAAAGCAGCAGCCCUCUGAAUGCUAAUGACGUUGGUGUCCUAAAUGAAGCAUAAAAGCCAGAGCCUGUGAGAAGCAGAGCAUGAGUCAGAGCGUCAGCAGUCCCACACUGAAAGCAGCACUCACGGCUGCUUCAUUCAUUUAAGGAAUCAAUUCCUUUGUAAUGAGCAUCAAGUAGUUUUUAGGACUAAAAUGAAAAUGAGAUGCAUGCUGUUAUUAUUAUUUUCAAAAGUUCUUUUUUUUUUUUUUUUUCUUGGAUUGACAAUAAACAAGUCUUUGUAGUUGGAAGGAGCCCCAGGCAAGGACCAGGUCCCUGCAGCACUGGCUGCUGUACCAUCAUGGAAGAAAAUCUGAGGAGCCCCUGCCCUAGGGAGACCACAACCUCCCUGGCAGCCAGGACCCCACCAGGAGCAGGCUGAGCACAGCCAGGGCACGGAAAAGCUGGGGCUGUUGCAGAUUGGUGCCUGGGCAGGCUGGCUCACCCGCGAUUUUAUUUUCCUUGCAUUGGGUCACUGGCAGAACCCGGCGAGGAUGGGUGUGUGCUGCUCUAGGGAACAGCCUUCGUGGAGGCUUUACAUGUUCCCUCUUGGACUGCAAAGGCAGCACGAGGCUGUGUGCUACAAGGAGAGGGAAUCCUGCCCAAGCUGCUCUCGGCUCCCUGCUGUCCCAGUUCCACUUCUAGAUAAAGCACAACCAGAUUCUGAUCUUUAGAGCACACAUCUCUGGGUUACACUCAUCCUAACAUGGUGAUUUGGGCCUCUAGUAUUUUCGGUGUGUUGGAUCUGAAACUCAGAAAAUGCGAGAGCAACACAAAACCAAAGCAAAGGUAGAAAAUUACUGCAGUUUCUAGAAUUCUUCCAGCUUUAGUCAUCGAAGGGGAUUGUUAGAAACGGACAAAGGGCUGUUUCCCUUAAUUUUUUUAAGUGUGAAUUUUGUCUUGACAGUUUCCUUUCAGAAACAAAAAUUGAAAACAAAUUGUCCCAUGCACAAAACAAAGGGACAGAUCCUCAGCUGGAAUGGACUGGUAUAACCAAGUGAAUAACACCCACUCACAGGAGAGAUUCUGGGCCUUUUAACAGCAGCUGCCGAUCCUGCUCUGCCCGGACAAGAGCUUCAGCCCCUGGGUUACAUGGCAGCAGUGCUGACUCCAUGUAGCUUGGAAAAGAUGAAGGGCUGCCUUCAGAGCAGCUAAAAACACAGCAGGCCUCCAAGGACUCCGGGACUGUACACUUCCCAAACCUGGAGCUGACUCCAGGUGCAUGAGCCGGCGGACACAACAGCGAGAAAACAACCAUAGCAGCGUGGCCCUGAAACUAAAGAGCUUCUCUGGAGAAAAGCUGGCAGAGCAGCCUUCCAAAAACCAUGGCCGGCGGGGCCGGCUCAGGUUUUUCUCUCAAAACCAAGGCUGAUCACCAUCUUGAAAAUUACAUGGACAGUCCCCAAGAAAAUAUUAACUGUGCAGCACAGAACAAAUGCACAGUGAACUGGGAUCCUUCCCAGCCAGUCCUGCUCCCAGGAGACACUGUGGCACAGCCCAGCUGCACCCUGUGCUUGGGGAAUGCUGUCAGCCAUGAGCCAGUUACCCAGAGCAGCAGCUCCUGGCUUUGGGUCGUGCCAGCACGAAUGGUGACCCUCGCUGGGCUGUCCCUGUGCAGGCCCAAGCGGCUCCAGAGGUGCUGAUGAGAGCUGGGUUCAUUCGUCUCCCUCACCCAGAAGAAAACAAAAAUACACACAUUAGGAAAAUUCGGGAAGUGUCUCCCUUUGCCAAGGAACAGCCAACAUCCAACAUCCCCAUUGCUGCUGUCUCCAGCAGCGAGAGCUGCCCGGCUGAGAUUCCCAUCCACACGGAUCCAGCACAGUCCCCUGGGAGAGCCAGUGCACAGGGGGUGCCCUGGCUGGGACCCCAAAGUGAAGGAACCUGAGCACUGAUGGAAGAGCACCCAUUCUCCAGGGCUGUCAAGGGGUGGGGUUGGCCACGUGUGUUUGACAUUUCCUCUUUCUCUGCAAUCCUCAGUUUGGAGCAUCACUUUUUUCUCCCACUCCCAACAUCAGCAGAGGAGCUGGGAAGCCAGAGUUAUUUUUAGGAGAUGGUACAUUUAGGCCCUGUUAAUCUUGACUGGGUCCCUUUGAAAAUGGCAAGGUUGGAUAAUCAAACACAUUACACAGACUUUCCAUGGAGCUGCUCUGCAAACCAGCCUCCCACUGUUCAGAUACCCAGGAGUCAAUAGUUCCAAGAGGAGCUGUUUGAUGCUGCCCUGGUUUGGCUCACUGUGGUGACCUCACCAGCAUUUAUACACAGAGCCUUGGAGAACAAGCAAAUUAAAGCAGCUGACUUUAAGUAUAUAAAAUAAAACACUUAGUCAUCAACAAGUCUUCUAGAGGCUGCCACAUUACACUGGUCUUGAGUGGCAAGAGCCCAUAACCUGGCUCAGGCUGGCAAAGAAGAGGGUGGCAGUGCUGCCUGGUCAGAUCGCCUGCAUGUGGGCAAAACACACCCAGAGCAACUCAGAAGGGAUCUUGCUGGUGUGAUGACUAACAUACUAAACUGGCUGGCACCAGGACGGGUACAGGAAGGGGAGAACAUGCCAGGGGAGGAGCUGUGGCUGGAAGAGGCUUCGUGGCUCCUAGAAAAUUAACCAGGGCACGGCCAACCAGCUUGGCCACUGCUGUCCUAUUAAAAGUCUCAGCCACCAAAAGAAGGGGGAGGGCACAUCCAAACAGCCUGUUCGUACUGGUCCCUGGUUCAUGCUGUCAGACCGUGUCCAGGACUGGCUGCAGGAGUCCCAGGCCAUGGUUGUACCCGGGACCACGCUCAGCACACGGCCCUGGCUGGUGCAGCUGUGAGCCAAGGCUCUGGCACAGGGCACAGCAGUGCUGGAGAAGCCCACGCAGGCUGGAAGGUGGAGGGAUGGCAAGCAGCAGUGCACAGAUCCCUGCUGGCUCCCAGAGGAGUGUGUUACCACAGAGCUGUGCCUGGACUGAUCACCGACAGGAAAACAGCCACGCUGCUGGCCCCGGCCUGCCAGCACUGCCGUUAGUUCUGAGCCUGCCUAGCUCUGACCAGCAAGGAACAACUGCCCCUUUUAUGCCUCAGGAAACCCCCGCAGGGGAGCCGGGAUGGAGCGGACAGGGCGGCUUCUCGAGGCAGGCGUGUGACCCCCGUGCAGUGCCAGCAUCCCCACGGCAGCAGCACCCACCCCGAGUGCCCCAGGAACACUGACAUGGAACAUGAACGAGCCAAGAGGCUUCAAACCGGAGCAAAGCGUGAGCAAAUCGAUUUUCAACAACCGAGGGAGAGCACAGAGGGUUUGGUUACAAGAGAGGAGGCACGUGCCUCUGGAGGAGCCCUCUUGGAGGAAGAAAACAGAUACAAUAAUUGAUAAACGUUUUGGCUGCUCCUCCUAAAUAAUCCCGUCACAUGCUCUUCCUUGCCAGUACAUUCAUGAAAAGUGCCUAUUUUGGAUACUGGGGCACAACAGAGAAGAGACAGAACCCCACAGUUCCCUGAGAGGUACACUCACUCCUCUCGCAGCACUAGACCUCAAGCUUUUUUUAUUGCUCUCUGCUUAAGAUGUUGGUCUUUUGUUGGAAGUUUACAGCUUUUUUUGAUGGAAAACGCAGUAAAAUCCUCCACAGAAAAUGAAGUUUACAUUACUGGGGAACUCAACCUUAGUGCUGCAGGUGUGGGAGAAUUUACACGACUUUUUCUCUCCUUUCAGCAUUACUUCUCACUGGUAACUCUGAAAUGUUUUUCUAAAGGGACCAGAUUGCCAGGUACAAGUUCAAUAACCACUGGAAGUGCCCACUGGGUUUGGGUCCAACUCUAUAUAUCCAGAAGCUCUUUACAGCUCAUUUGCUGAAUGUAAUUAAUUGAACUAGGCAGGAUUUGGCAACAUGACGCUGAACUAAUGCCCUUAAAAUUGCUGAUAGUUUAGAGCCAUAAGAACAGAUUAGAGAAACCCAGUAAACCCAAUUCACUUGCCAUGGAGAUUGAAAGAAAGGCACAGCAAGGUUCAGAACUGCUGAAUGCUGCAGGAACACUCUGGUGCUGGUGCCUGCGGGUGCUCAGGGCCCGACCACCAGUGACCUGUUACAGGAGCAGCUUCUCACCUGCAAGUUUUACACCUCUCACACCAAAGCCAUCGAGCAAAUCUAAGAGUUCAGUGAAAUCUUGACAGUUAACUGAAAGGGUUAAGUGAAAUAUUAAGCACCUGUGACUCAAAGCUGAUUGUACAAGCUUCCUGGUUAGUGGCAUAAGAGCUGUACGUGGAGGGUGCUUCUCCCAUCCUCAGGUGUAAACUCACCCAGUGAGACACCCCGACCCUGGAGCCACCUCCCCUUUCCUUCUGCCUUGAAAGAAAGUCCAGACCAAGGACCUGCUUUUUACACUGAUGAAGUUUAACCAAACUCCAUCUUAGGAGAAUUAGGAAUCAUUUUGCCAGAUACUUCUAAUGAGACACUUCAAUGAGAAUGAGAUGUUGUCAGUUAAUGCUCUACCAGUGCCCAGAUUUAUGAUUGCUGUUCAAUACUGCAAGGGGUGCACAAGAAAUGCUUGGGAAAAGGGGAAAUUCUGUCCUUCUGAAAAUACUAUUAACAAACAAGAGGUUUCUGGCUGUCAGGUAAUAGCUCAGCAGUGCUGCUUACAUUCAAAGCCAUGCCUGGAAUAGUCAGGUUGUAGCAAAUUUCAUUAAAAGAAAAUCUUUAGUUGCUGUGGAAAUCAUUCUGAUGGGAGAUUAUGUCUGGAGGCUGUAUUGGGGUGUACUGCAUUUCUUUCACCUGCACUGGAGUGUUUCCUUCAGGGUGUGGAUUGACUCAAGGGAGAAAGGAGAGAAGAGAGGAAGAGCUCAGUCACCACAUCGAUCCCAUCAUCUCCUGUGCACUGCACAGGCCACAGGCAGGAGAGGCCCAGGGAGGAUGAGAUCCUGGCCACUGAGCUGGGUCUCUACAGAAAUCCUGCUUUAUAUGUAUUUUUAAGCACCUUAACCCUGCUAGCUGUCUGCAAACAACUAACCCUAAUUUGGCAUUACUGUAACACUGAUAGCUGGCUAAUUAAAAAAAGUUAUGAAAGGUUUGAAAGCGACAAUUUCCAAACAGUUGUGAACAUACUGCUAUGAAAUGAUAGAGUGCUCGUGGCUGUUUGUCUGAAAACAUUACUAGUCACCAAAAUUAGAGCACAGGACAAAUCCUGGGCUGGUGCAGAUCAAGAGAUCUCCACUGGCUUGCAGGAGAUGUUUUAUUUAGCACUGGGCACAGCUGCUGUUUCUUUGGAGAGCUCUAAAUUCAUUCUGCGAUGUAGGCAAUCUACAAGCCCAAAUUAUGUAUUUUAAGAUUAAACUCCUAUCAAAUGUUUAGAAAUUAAA